CCGAUUAGAUGGCAGGUCAUGGAUAAAUCAUCAAACCUCAACAUCGAUCAUAUAAUAGUUCAAUCAGUUUAAGUCUAUAUGAGAUUCUAUGAGAAUUUUUUUCUAUCAAUCACACUGCUAUGGCCAUAGACUUAAGGACACAGUCUCUUAAAUCUCAUAGGACUACUUCCUUCUGCUAGAUUGAUAGAUCCCAUCUUAAUGCACAUCCC
Molecule: long non-coding RNA, 209 nt
Filed under: Elaeis guineensis (African oil palm)
Lineage: Eukaryota; Viridiplantae; Streptophyta; Magnoliopsida; Arecales; Arecaceae
Description: long non-coding RNA (EGUI_LNC053474)
Source: RNAcentral